Long non-coding RNA from Helianthus annuus (common sunflower), 478 nucleotides. RefSeq lists it as uncharacterized. The transcript is spliced from 3 exons. Lineage: Eukaryota; Viridiplantae; Streptophyta; Magnoliopsida; Asterales; Asteraceae. The record is from RefSeq and is a predicted model, not a curated record.
CAAUAAACAACAGGAGUAACGAACAAGUGAACAAUAGCGCCUGCACCCUCACCCUCCUCCCUCUCCGGCGACCAUCUCCUCUCCUCCGGCCGUCGUUCUUCACAGUUUAUGUAGAUGGCAUCCUCACUGAUUCACAAAUCCACCUAUGAAGCCGAUAACCCACUUGAAUUGUCGCUAAUUGAAGCUUUCCGGCUUCUGGAACCCGAAUUAAGGCCCCCUUUUCUACUAACAAUCCGUACAGAACCCAAAUACUUCAAUCUCAAUCGGGCUAUAUUAUAUGUUUAGUGUUAUUUAUGAUACCCUCUCCAGCGACCACCUCCUAUUCACCGGCGCCAUCGUUCCUCUGACCGUCCUCCUUCAACCGUGGUUCUUCACAGAUGUGUUAAUAUUUAACUUGUUUUGUAUUUUUAACUUGAAUCAACAUGAACUUUUUUGAUGUUUCUUGUUCUAAAUUGUUUUGAUGGUUUAAAUUGUUUUC